This 288-nucleotide long non-coding RNA is filed under the name Elaeis guineensis (African oil palm). RNAcentral describes it as "long non-coding RNA (EGUI_LNC079599)". Lineage: Eukaryota; Viridiplantae; Streptophyta; Magnoliopsida; Arecales; Arecaceae. The record is from RNAcentral.
GUCCUUAUGAAAGCUAAUCACAUAGCCUUCUUGUGCUAAACAUGAAACAGAAAUCAAAUUUUUGCUUGUUGCAGGCACAUAAUAACAGUCUCUUAAAACUAAAUCUAAUCCUAACGGUAAUCGCAGAGGGUAGGUUCCGACGGCCACGACAGCAACUCUUGCUCCGUUCCUAAUGUGUAGGAUCAUCUCCCCAUCCCUCAGCCUCCUGCUCUCCUCAAGAUCCUGCAUAGAAGUGCACAAAUGAGCACUAGAACCAGAGUCAAGUACCCAACUGGAUGCAGAAGAAAU